AACGAACGUUGGCGGCGUGGAUUAGGCAUGCAAGUCGAACGAGAAAGCACCCUUCGGGGUGUGAGUAAAGUGGCGAACGGGUGAGUAACGCGUGGGGAACCUGCCCUCGAGUGGGGGAUAACGCUCCUAACGGAGCGCUAAUACCGCAUGAUACCGGAACCAGGCAUCUGGAUCCGGUCAAAGAUGGCCUCUGUUUCAAGCUGUCGCUUAAGGAUGGCCCCGCGUCCGAUUAGUUGUUGGUGGGGUAACGGCCUACCAAGGCGACGAUCGGUAGCCGGCCUGAGAGGGUGUCCGGCCACACUGGGACUGAGAUACGGCCCAGACUCCUACGGGAGGCAGCAGUCGAGAGGCUUCCGCAAUGGGGGAAACCCUGACGGAGCGACGCCGCGUGGGUGAGGAAGGUCUUCGGAUCGUAAAGCCCUGUCAGUUGGGAAGAAAACCGGAUUGGUUAAUACCCUUUCCGCUUGACGGUACCUUCAGAGGAAGCUCCGGCUAACUCCGUG
RNAcentral lists this ribosomal RNA (503 nucleotides) under uncultured bacterium. Its description in RNAcentral is "bacterial SSU rRNA". It matches the Rfam family "Bacterial small subunit ribosomal RNA", at positions 28 to 507 of the family's 1533-position model. The record is from RNAcentral.